AUUGAACGCUGGCGGCAGGCUUAACACAUGCAAGUCGAGCGAGCGGCGGACGGGUGAGUAAUGUCUGGGAAACUGCCUGCUGGAGGGGGAUCACUACUGGAAACGGUAGCUAAUACCGCAUACCCUCAGAUGUGCCCAGAUGGGAUUAGCUAUGAGGUGGGGCAAUGGCUCACCUAGGCUACGAUCCCUAGCUGGUCUGAGAGGAUGACCAGCCACACUGGAACUGAGACACGGUCCAGACUCCUACGGGAGGCAGCAUUGGGGAAUAUUGCACAAUGGGAGCAAGCCUGAUGCAGCCAUGCCGCGUGUGUGAAGAGGGCCUUCGGGUUGUAAAGCACUUUCAGCGAGGAGGCGUUACUCGCAGAAGAAGCACCGACUAACUCCGUGCCAGCAGCCGCGGUAAUUC
Molecule: ribosomal RNA, 406 nt
Filed under: uncultured bacterium
Lineage: Bacteria
Description: partial 16S ribosomal RNA
Rfam family: Bacterial small subunit ribosomal RNA
Source: RNAcentral